This 25284-nucleotide long non-coding RNA is filed under the name Gossypium raimondii (Peruvian cotton). Its description in RNAcentral is "long non-coding RNA (GRAI_LNC008825)". The record is from RNAcentral. Lineage: Eukaryota; Viridiplantae; Streptophyta; Magnoliopsida; Malvales; Malvaceae.
UCUUUUUUUUUUUGUUAACUUAGCUAUUAGCUUGGUUAUUAAUUAAAUACCACUCAAAUAUGACGUAGAGUAUAUGCAAGACAUGAUAGUCAAAUCAUGAAUAUGAGCGUAACUAUUGAAUCAACGAGUUAGAAAAGAUAAGCCUUCCUAAAUUUUAUUAAGGUUAAAUUAUUAUUUGGGGCUUGAACUUGACAACUUUUCUCAUAUUAGGGUUUGAAUUUUUUUUGUCCAAGUUAGGUCCUGAACUUGUCAAUUGUUCCCACAUUGGGCCUUAAACUUUAAGGUUUUCAAAGACUAAUUUGGAUAAUAAAAAAAAGCUUAAGUCCCAAUGUUGGGAUAAUUGCCAAGUUCAGGGCAUAACUUGAACUAAAAAAAAGUUCAAACUCCAAUAUAAGAAAAGUUAUCAAAUUCAGGCCUCAAAAAAUGAUUUAACCAAAUUUUAUUGUCACUAUUUUUUCUUAACACGUCAAUUUUAAGUUGUUCAUGCAGUAACUACAUGUAUGUUUACAAUUUGAUCAUCACAACCCGCCCAUUAGCUUGAUUGUUAAGUCAAAUGCAAACUCUAAUCAGAUGUGUAGAAUAUUUAAAAAACACCAUAAUCAAAUUAUAGACACAUGUGUACUUAUUGGGUUGACAACUUGAAUCUAAGGUGUUCAAAAGAAAUAACCAUUCUAAUUGUCACUUUUUUUAACACAUCAAGUUCAAGUUGUCCAUACAAUAACUACAUACAUGUUUACAAUUUGAUCCUUGUAUUUUAAAUAGAUUGAGAUCCGAGUUUAGCUCCUGUUCAUUAUUUUUGUGUCCGUUAUUAAGCAAUAUAAGUUUAACCACUAUUAAUCAGUCUAACAUUCACAAUUCAAUAGUGGAUACUUCACAUUUGAAUGGUGAUAAUCAGUGUAUUGAAAAUUUAUUGGAUGAAGAAGUACUAAAUUGAGUUUUAAAUUGUUAAAAUAAAAUCCAUUAUUUUUUAUCAAUUACUUUUCAAUAUACUAAUCAUCACCAAUCAUGUGUGUAGGGCUCACAAAUAAAAUAUGUAAAUCAGAUUUACGAAUGAUAAUUAAACUUGUAUUAAAUAGUAAUGGAUAAAAAAUAAUGGAGAGGAGCUUGACCCGUUUUGAAUAUAAUUGCCUUUGCCUCGUAUUUAAAUCAACAUUUAAUACCUAAAUUAAUAAUUAAAUUAAUGUAAAAAUCAGAUUGAUGUAAUACUUAUAUGGAAUAGUGUGUUAUUGGUGACACAUAACCAAGGCCAAUAAGCUCAAUUAGGAGGGUAGUCAAGGCAUAAUUUUUUAAUAAAUGUUUUGGAGCAUGAUUUUAGAGAUUAAUUUAUCUGUUUUAAUUGAGUUUUUAAAAUACCAUUAUCGAAUCAAUCAGGUUUUUCUGUCAACCUACCCAUUAGUUUGGUUGUCAAAUUAAAUGUUAGCUCAAAUCUAUAGUUGAGCAUAUUUAUAAAUACGUGUGUAUUGUAUGAACAACUUGAAUCUAAGUUAUUUAGAAAAAAGAAUAGUCACUUCUAAAUUCUAUUUUCCCUGUUUGUUUUUCUAACAUAUCAGAUUCAAAUUGCUUAUGAGAUAAAUAUGUACACACAUGUUUAAAAUUUGAUUCCCGUGUUUUAAAUAUACUGGACAUCAUAUUCAACUUAAUAUUUAACGACUAAAUUGACUGCUAAACUAACAAAAUAUGCAUACCAAACUUAAUUAAAAUAUUUUAAAGAAGGAUAUAUAGUUUAAAUACAUUUAAUGCAAUUAACCAUAAAUAUAUAUUAGUCUUUUAGGAUGUUUGGGGAUGAAGGUUUUGUUAGUUAAUUUAUAUCCAUCAACAACACCUUUAUCCCAAAAAAUUGAAAAGGCUAAAAUAAUAUUCCUUUUUAACCUUAUAUUAAAGAGGGAUAGUUUAAAUAUGUUUAAUGCAAUUAAGAUGGAUGAUUAAUCUUUCAUGUAGGCUUUUCUUGAUAGCAUCUCUUCUUUUCUUCCUGUGUUUAUUGGGUUUAAUUUUGAUAAAUUAUUAAAUAAGAUGUCAUUAAUUUUGAGUUUAUUAUUUGAUUUUUGAUUCGGUGCAAAAGUAAAAUCCAAAAAAUUAAAAAGAGUCGAAGAUGUGGGCUACUGUAAAAGUUUUGGGCCAAAAAACAAAGUUGAUAAAUAAUUAUCUAUUUUUGGGAUUUAUAUGUAAAAGUAACAUUUUUAUUUUUUUUAUUAAAAUAAUAUUUUAAUUACCUAUUAUUUUAUUUUAGGAUAAUACUUUUAAUUCUAGUAGUUUAUUUUUUAUUUUAUUUUAUUUUUAAAUAACUCCUCUUAGAUUAAUGAGUGUGCGCGCGCGCGCGCGCUGUGGAGGGGCAGAAGGAGAAGGGGGAGCCCCUGUACCUUGAAUUCAAUUUCUUCGUUCUGUUUUUGGUUUUUUUUGGCCUGUGCAACAUUGCGCAUUUUCCUUUCAAUUUUUUUUUUAGUUUUAAUUAAUAUUUGUUAAAAUCUUCAUUGAAUAGGCUUAUUUUCAUUAGUAGCUAAAUUUCCAUUUAAUUUUAGGUCGAUAAAUAAUUCUGUCAAACUCUCACUUGAAAACUUUCAUUACAGUAUUUGUUGUUUCUCCGUUUUAGGAGAUAAACAUCAUCGUCUCACAAAAUUGUAUUGACACUAAGUCAAAAGAGCUUGUUGGUUUGGUGUUGAUAGACAUACAGUUGGAAGUACCGAAUCAACCAUUUAUCAUAUUCGGUCUACCGAAGAAUACAUUGGCGUGUCCAAAUAAAUAGUUGGCCGGAUCUAUCAAGGGAAAUAGCAAUCUGAUCUAAACAAUCCACGUGAUUGAGACCGUUGGUUCGAAUGGAGCCCUUAUAGUUCACAAGACCACUGUAGAGAUAAAUCAUGAAUGCGUAUUUCGUGAUUGUUCUUUCGAUAAGGGUUAGUUGCUGGGCAUUCCUGAAAUUAAUCUAUACAUGGAAGAGUUGGUAGUUUGAAAUAUCCUCGACCACAAUAACUAACUUAUCGAUUGAAGGAAAAAAUUUGUUAUCAAGGACCGGUUCGAAACGAGAGCAAAAUUAAGCUUGAAGUUGGAAUUUCAUCAAAUUGUUUUAUUUAAUUUAAUUUCAUUUAUGCCUAUUUUCACUUUUAUUUUUAUUUCAAUUACUUAUACUUUUAUUAGUUUUAAAUCCCCUUUUUAUUUUUGCACAGACCGUCACAUGUCGUUGGCACAUUAGCUGCCUAGAUGUGCAACUUGAUUAAAUCGAAAUGAUAAUUUUAGAUAACUCAACCUCUAUAGGAUCAACCAUAUUCCCCAUACUGCUAUUUAUUUACCGUUUAAGUAGAACAAUAUUGUUUUUGGUGAAUUUGACACUCAUCACUGAUUAAUCUCCAAGAAAAUUAAUAUCGUGCCUUUGCUUAUGAUAGAAUAAGAUUUUUAUGCAAGAUUUUAAGUUUUUUUUGAUUGAAUGAUUUUAAGAUGUUAAUUUUAUAUAAGAUUGCUAACAUUCGGGUUGGUAAUAAUUGUUAGAGAUUGAUUAAUACAAAUUCUUAAACAAAUUAAGAUCUAUUGUUUUUAUAUUCUUAAAUUUCUUGAAUAUUGAUUAAAAUUUUAAUAUUUUUUUAAUUGUUGUUGUUAAUGCGAUUAUUGUGAGUUUUUGUUGAAUAUUUUCAUUUGUCACUUGACCGCAAAAAAGGUUGUACAUACACUUGAUUGCAAAAACAAAAAAGGUUGAGGGGCCAAAUUUAAUUAAAAUAAAUAAAUAUCAAAUUGACAAAAAAUAUAAAUGUUAAAAACUUAAUUUUUCAUAAUGCAUUUUUUAUGAUUAUAGAAUUACUAUCAAAUUUCAUUGAGAUUCUCCUUUCAUAAACAAAAUAGCAUCACCCUAUACCGAAAUUCUUUUAAUUCAUUAUUUCAAAUGGAUAAAUAUCAAAACUACACAUGAACUUUAGUUUGAUAUGCAAUGAUAUACAUGAAUUUAGAUUUUUUACGUUUUUAUACAUGAAAGUUCGAUUUGAUUUAUUUUCAUAUCGAAACAAUAUCAUUUUAUAUUAAUAAAUUGCAUACACAAGCAAUUAUAUUGUUUCGAUAUGAAAAUAAAUAUAUGUAUUCAUUUAUUUAAAUGUGUACAUAUAUGAACCACAACUCAAAUUUCAUAUAUAUAAUUACACCAAAUCAAAAUUCACAAAGUUAACGUAUAAACUUGAUAUUUAUCCCUUAUGUCAAAUCAACAAUAACACUUAAUUAAAAAGGUAUUGUUUUUACUAACAAGCAUCGUGAUAACUGUUGUUCCAAAUUUUAAUUUUAAUUUCAUAAACCAAAAAAUGUUAUUUUUUAACCUAUUUUAAUUUAUUUUAAAGUUUCGUUAAACUUUUGCCAGAUACAAUAAAUCUAUGACCGAAACUUAUUGCUUGGUGUCCAUUUUUAUGUAUUCUUUUCAGACUUCAAUCCAGCUACAUUAUUCCUGAAUUAGCUGGGUUUUCUUUUUCCAAUAAAAAAUAUAGUUUUUGAAAUCCAUGGGAGAUACAUUUACUAAGAAUCAAUAAAGAGUGUAUCGAAAAUAAAAAGUACUCGGGAAAUUAUUUUAUGGCCGAUUCUUACCGUAUUAUUUAUGGUAUCUCCUAAUAAUUUAAUGGCAUUUCAGUAAUUUUUUAUCUCGAACCUUGAACUCUGAAUCCAAAAUCUCGAAUCUUGAACCAUCAACCUCGAACUCAAGAUCCAAACCUUGAACCCUAGACUCAAACCCUAAAUUAUCGAACCUCAAAUCUAAACUCGGAGUUUUGGGUUUAGGGUUUGAUUUAAGGUCUGGGAAAAUUACUCAAACUAUAUACUAAUGACAUGAAAAAUAUUGUUAAAGCGUCACUAAAUAAUUAGAAAGAGGUCAUGAAUAAUAUGGCGGGAAAGGUCCAUAAAAUAAUUUUUCUAAAAUAUAAUAUUAUAUGAAGUAGAUUUAACUAUGAGAAAUUUAAUAUUUCUUUUAAGAUUUCAGGUAUGAAUUAUUUUAUGAAAGGAAAAAAAAUUAAUGUCGGAAAAAACUUGGCUCCCAUUUAGAGUUUUAAUUCGACUAACCCUAAAUUUAAUGAGAAUUAAUAUCACUAUCAAAUAGCCGAGGAUCUUAGGGAAAGGAUCUGAUUAUAGAAAAAAGCAAACAAAAAGGUUAUUCCCAAUUAAUCUUCAAAACUGCACUUUUCAAAGGAUUGAUAUAUGUUUAAACCGACCAAGCAUCGAAUCUGCAAACUAAGAUUGAAUUUCGUACAUCACAGAAAUAUAUAUUUGUUUUUAUUUUUUAAAAUUUUAUAUUAAUAUGAGAUGUUUAAAUAUUUAUAUUUAAUCGUCCAAUAAUUUAUAUAUAUAAUUAACCUUUAUACAAGGAUUAAAAGAAGAUGAGAUUAUGCUUUAUGGUCCAAUCACAAAACAUUAAGUAGUUAACUGGUUUUGUUAAGGAGAUAAUGGAGGUAAAUUUUUUUAUUUAUAUGACACGGUUUUCGGAUGCGAUGCAUUAGAUAAGCUUCAUACAUGCCAACACGUGCCCUCUAAGUGUGUGUUUGCUUGUAUGAUUAUGCAAACCCAUCAUGUGCGAACUCAUAUAAGUGAAAUGUACAGACUGUCACUAUUGAAACAAAAAGGAUUGGAUCGGUCCUAGUUGAAACACCAUAACAAUACCAAUUAACAUCAGCUAAUGGACAUAAAGAAUCCUAGCUAGAGAGGAGGAUUCGAUUCAAAGUUGCACUCUUUUAGUUCACAACUCUUCUUUUACCUCUAAUUUCAGCAAAAUCAUGCACCAUCCUAACCUUGCAACUUAGGCCAUUCUUCAAUCGGUUCGGUUUUAUAUUUUCUUUUUUAAAAAUAACACAAAUCGUUACUCAAAUUAAGUUGGAUAGGAUGGAAUUAUUUGAGUAUUUGAGUCCAAAUAUAUUUAAAUAAAGAUUUAAAUCACGAUUUAUUUUUUUGUUUUAAUUUAAUAUCUAAACUAUCAUUUUUCAUUUCAUUUUAUUUAAAAAAUUACUCACAUUCAAUAAAAAUGCGACAUGUAUCAUAUAAUCAUGAUAUAAACUCGUUAAAAUAUAAUUAUCGAAUUAUUAAUAAGAUCUUGACCUAAUUACAAAAUUUAAAAUUUAAGUUCGAAUCUCGUCAUAUCCAGACAUCAAAAUACUACACACCUGUCCCCAUUGAAUUGGAAACAGAACAUUAAUGCCACCAAAUUGAAUAGAAUAAUAAGAAGUUGAUUUCAAAGUUUUGAAUCUCAUUGUUGCCUUUUUCCUUUCGGUAAGAUCUCAAUCUCCAUAAAUAAUAUUUGCUCCCUUCUUUUUUCAACCUAUAGGUGUAACACAAUUUGUGCUUGUCAAUUGGCAUAUUCAAAUUUUACUUUUUCCUUUUAAUAUGUUCAUUACUGUGUUACUUUUCCCCCCUAAGGAGGAAAUUUGAAACUUCCAGAAAUUAAUUUCAUUCAUCAAAAGAAACUCAAAACAGGCAAAAAAAUGAAAAGAAUAGAUUCUUUAAUGUCUCCCUAGUUUGUUCCUUUGUUUUUCCCUUUCGGUGCCACCACGUCAAUUUAUUAGGUUACUUAGGUUUUAAAUUUUAAUUCACGAAGUGUGAGUUUGAAUAAACAGUGCGUCGAUGUGUUUACUUAUAGUUAGUGUAAAAAUAGCGGUGAUGGUGAGGACGAUACUGUAGUGUGUGACAAGAAAUAAGUUAAACACACCACACCGCUCAUCCAAAGAGGUACUGAAUCGAAUACAUAAAUAGAGUAAGAUAUAAAAUCACACAUAUUUAAAUUAACAUUUAUAUAAUUUUUGUAAUUAAAUAGAUUAGUAUCAAUACAUGCCUAAACCGGACAUGGUGAAUACAAGUACUACAACGAACGAAAAAUAAAAAGAAAUACAUGCACAUGAUAAGAUUAAAGAUCAUUUUAAUUUGGUUUUAAGUUUAUACACAAAUUUUUAUUUUUAUUUAAUUCUACGAAUAAAAUUUUGAUUUUAAUUCAAUCAAAUAUAUAUUAAAUUCAUUAAAUAAAUUCAGUUAUCUUUAUUUUGAGAAGAAUGUAAAAAUGAUAUCAUGUCAACAAUAAUGUCUUUUGAUGCAAUGUUUUAAAUAGGAAGAUAAAUGCGCUUGAAUCCAUGUCUUCCUACACUAAUAACAAUGCCGAUACCAACCGAGCUAAAACUUAAUCGGCAUGCCAGUAAUAAUGUUAAUUGUAUAUAAAACCAAUAUAAAAAUUAAUCACAUUUUAUCAUAGUUUAUUCAUAUUUAAAUAAUUUAAUAUAAAGAUGUAUUAAAUAUAAUUAAUUUAAAUUUUUAAUUACCUUUUAAAGAUAUAUUAAUCAUCUAAAUCCUAACUUUUAUAUUUAUAUUUAGUGGAAAAACAUUUUUAACAAUUCUUUUGACUCCAAAGGUAAAGUUUUCUCUAUUACUCCUUGAAAAGUAAUUUUGAUCUCACUAUAAAAAUGAUAUUGUCUUUUUUAUGUUAUUUAUAUAAACUCUAUAAAAAAAUUAAAUCGAAAAUAAAUCCUAAAAAAAAAAAACUCACACUUGGUAUAUCUAUCUAUCUAUUUAUUAUAAUAAAGUCUCUGACUGAGUUAGUGUCACCCAUUAAUCGAAUUUUAAUUUUGAGAAAUUACUAAAAACUUAUAUCUGUACAAAGUAAGUUAUAUUUUUAUGAAGAUAUUUUUUUUAUCUUUUUUAUAUUUUCAUAAAUCAAUAAAAAUUUACAUAUUAUAAGAUUUGAACCAAUUACACUAUGAAUAUCAAACAUUCAAUUUGAUACAAACCGUUAAUAUGGAAGUCAUUAGGGAUAUUAAACAAUCCUUUUUAAAGGGGUCCAAUUUUGCUUUGAUAAGGCGCAUUAUUCAACUCUUAAGAAAGGAGGCAAAAUAGCCCAUUGAUUAGGUUCCUAGAGAAUAUAACAUGGAAGCUGAUCAAAUUACUAAGUUGGCUUUUGAUAGAGAGGAAGGUGUAUAGUUAUAUGUAGAUUCUCCUCUAGUAUUUUUCUAAAUUUUUUUGUAUUAAUACUUUUUAUUCACCAAAAAAAUAUAUUCAAAUUUACCAUUUCAAUCAAGACAUCAUUUUUAUACCAUUAAUAAUGUGUUAGACUAAAUUGGUAUCACGGUCAAUCAAAUAUUAACCUAAUCGUAAAAUUACCAAAAAUCACUUAUUUUUACAAAAAUCACUUAAUCUAAUUACUUGUAAUUUUGUGAAUGUAUUAUAAUAUAGAGUAUAUGAAUCUCACUUUUAGUGAGGAAAACGCGGGGAAGUUGGUCAUAAACAGUGAAUAGAUUGCCAAAGUUAGCCCUCUCCAACUGCUAGAAUCCCCUCUCUCCCCUCGUUUCCCUUUAUCCGUUUAAACAACUACACUUUCUCCUCCCUCUUCAUUUAUAUAUAUAUAUAUAUAUAUAUAUAACUGCCUCUCUACUCCCUUUCAUCUCCGACCAACCAAAACAAAAGAAAUACCUAUAAAGAAGAAGCAAAAUUGAUGUGUACUACGAGAACCAAGAGAUGGAUGUUAUUCAAGAGGCUGAUGAAGAAAGAGUUAUGGAGAUGGAAGUUUUUGGGGUCUGCUUUCAAGUGGAAGAAGAUGCCAUCCCUAAACAUUCACCUUUCUUUCAUUGAUGAUGUGCUUUUCAAGAUUGCCUCUGUUUUAGAGGCUAUUUUCUUGGUCUCCACUCUCUGUUUCUUCUAUCUUUGUUGCGGCUGUCAUUUUUGACAAACCCCACAUCUAUGUGUGUACUAUGUAUUUAUUUAUUUUUCCUUUUGGGGUUGUAGUAAGAAACAUUCUGGAUUCUGAGUUCUAACAUGGGUUUCUGAGAAGGGAAAGUGUUUUUCAUGGCGAAAAGAAAAAGCUUUGAAUUCCAGGACUUUGUUGAAGGGUGGUAAAAAUGUAGGGAAGAAACAGGGCAAACUUUAGUUUCUUCAUGUAUAAAGUUGGUAGUAAAAUUGAACUUAGCUUUAAUUUGAACAUAUAUGCUCUCUUGUUUACAUUUUCCCCUUCAUUUUGUUGUUUAAAGUUUGAUGAGUUUGGUUCUCCUCUUUGGCACCCAUACAUGAUUGUGUGUUGUUGAAUCGAGUAGGACAUUCUUAAACAAAAUUUCUUGUGUUUGUUAAAGGACUGGAGUUCAAAUAUAUGUAGUAAAUAUCAGACUGCGUUAGAGCAAAAGAUCCUUAGUUGUUAUCAAUGGCAAUACCAACCAAAUUAAGACAAAAGAAAUGGGACAAGGCAAAGGCUAGGAACGGAAUUGGUAUAGCUAUAUAGCUACUUUUGCUCGAUAUAUAGAUAGAAACAGCAACAGGAAAUAAAUAAGCCUUCUUGCACGUGCAAUGAAGUGGCUUUGAGUCUCUUCUUAGGCCAGCCCCAAAGGUUAAACACUUUCACUGAUGGUAAUAUUUUCCCCACUGAAUAUACGACAUGACAGACAUCAUUAAUGAACACUGUUUUGCUCUGCUGCUAUUAAGUGGCCUUUGUUUUUGUUUUUGUUCUUUCCACUGUUUUGAGCUUGAAGAUGAUAGCCAAAAACAGCUAGUUCUGCUUUUUAGGGAUAUGAGCAGGUAAGGCUUUACGUGUUAAAAGACCAAUAGUCAGUGAUUGAAGGCAAAGCAAAAGCCAAUUAUGAUAUUCAGUCGCAGCUUUUAUAUUUUUCAGGAAAGAUUUGGGGGACUUCGAGGUAACGUGUGAAGAUGAUGAAGGAAGUGUAUUGAUUUGGAUUUUUGGAGUUAGUGUGUCGUGAUUAUAUUUUCUUUUUAUUUUCAAUUACUAAACGAUAAUAUAUAUGGGUAAAUUUCACUCAAAUCACUAAACUAUUAGUAAGUUCACAUUUUAGUCAUUUAACUUUAAAAAAUUAUAAAAUAAACUUUUUAUUUUGUCAUUAAACUAUUUGAAACUUUUUAUUUAAGUCACAGGAUUGUUAAUUUUUGUUUAAAAGUUUGAUUAGUGAGCUCCAAGCGACAAUUUGACGAUUAGUACGAUGGAUCAAUGCCCAUUAAUGACGAUUUUAGUUAGUGAAUUCGUGAUGUUUAAAAUUAUUUUAUAAAAAAAUUAAAUUGUAGAAGAGAAUGGGAAAGUAAGCUUUCGUGAAUAGAGAAUGACAUACAACAAUAAUUUUAAUAGUCCAAUAACUUAAACAAAAUUUUCGAAUAAUUUUAUGACUAUUUUGUAAUUUUUAAAAAUUUAGUAUCCAAAAUAUAAAUUUACUAAUAAUUUAGUAAUUUGAUGUAGUUUACCCUCUCUCUCUAUAUAUAUAACCAGUUUCAGCAAGUUAAUAUGACAAGUCAGAGUUAGCUGUAAUGUUAAGACGGCAACAGAGACAAUAAAUUUUCUUUGAUUUUUUUUUCUUUUUUCGGGUUCAAUGAUGCAAGAAAUUUUCAUCUGCAAUGGAUAAAUAGAGUGAAUGUUUACUAAUAAUUUCGGCUAAAUAUAUGUUGAUAUUUUUUUAAUUAGUUAAACGUGUUGAUUUUAGAAAGAAAGUGAGAAAACGUGUUAAUUGAUGAAAGUUUGUUUAGUUAAACAUGUUUUUAUACGCUCUUCGAAAUUAACCUAUAUUUUUAAAUAUCGAGAAAAUUUCGACAUAUUUAACUUAUUUAGCCAAUAAUUUCUCCCACUGUACUGAUAAUUUAAGCUAUACUGCAUUAUAUAUAUAUAUUUCAAUGUUUCAAAACAAUUUCCCCUUGUAUUUACACCAUUAUUUCUUCCUCUCUUUUUUUUUUUAAAUCUUUUUAAGGAAAAUUGUAGAUAAACAUAAUAUGAGGAUGAGUUUCAUCUUGAUAAAACAUUGAAAAGUUUUAUUCAAACUGAUUAUGACAUAUAGGUGAAAUUUUUUUUUAAAUGUAUAUAUUUAUUAAAAUUUUAUAUAAAAUCCACAUGAAAUUUUAGUUGGAAUUUUAAAGUUAAAAAGGUGUAGAAAUUAUAGGUUAAAAUAUGUUGUUAGUCUUUAUACUUUAAAAGUUAAAAAAUUUAAAUUUUUUUUCUAAUUUAAAAAUUUGUGGUUGUUGUUAGUUUCUACCAAAAUUUGCCUACUAAACAUGUUUAUUUCCUGUCAUGUCAUAUGAUAAUAGCUCUAACCGAAAUUCCAUUUUGAUAAAUUUUUACAAAAAUACUUACGAUUUUAAUGAAUGGACUGAUAUUUUUAAAUCAAUAAAGUAGAAGGAAAUAAUUUUCAACAUUUAAAGUAAAGGGAUUAAAUCUUAAAAUCUAUACAAGUAUAGAGACUAACAAUAUAUUUAGAGCUACAACAUUGAUUCUGUAUAAAAAUGAAAAGACGAAAACACUUACAUAAUAAUAUAGUAAUUUUCUUUGUAAAAACAAUGCGUUUUAAAUUAUUUAAUAAAAAAUUUUAAAUAUAGUAUAAAUUUAAUAUUUAUCUUCAUAAUUUUUACAUCAUACAACACUUAUCAUUUAAUGAUAAUGUUAAUAUUAUUAUUUUUUAAAUAUUCUAAAUAAAUUAUCACUUCAUUUCUAUUAAAAAUAAAUUAUUCAAAUUAUUAUAUUUAUUUUUUAUCGAAAAAUAUGAAAACGAAGAUUUACUAAUAUUAUAAACAUUUACUUUAAAAAAAACUAAUAUUAUAAACAUUUUUAUAAUAUAAAUUCAAUACUAAAAAUGAAAUAAUAAAAAUUUCAAUAUUUAUUUAUUUUUAGUUUUUCAAAAUAACAAAGUAUCUUUAAAAAAAAGCCAGCAAAGAGUAGGAUAUUUUACAACCCUUUUUGCCUUAGCCCUGAAGUAGCCAUCAAUCACCAUACUAUGAUUUGAACUUAGGGUUUGUUUUAAUUGGCCUGCUAGCAACCUUCCAAUUUCCAAAUAGCAAUUUGCCAUUUGUCUUCUGUAUUAAAAUUAAAGAAAAUGAGCCAAUCUGACUUUUAUUCUAUAAAGAAAACAAAAACAGAAAAAAAGGCAUCAAAUUUCAUGAAUAUUUACUUGAUAAAUAGUCAGAUUAACAUUCAAGUCUGCUUGACAAUAAUAUAUAUGUAAGAACAAUCUCCAAGCAGUGAUUUACACAAAAAUGAUACAGGGAUGAACAUAUUUGCCUACAUUAACAUGCUACUCAUAUAAGUCAUAAUUAAACCACUACAUCUAUGCAUUUCCUGGUACAACAACGCCUAAGGUUUAUAUAUAUUUAUUCAUCAAACUCCGAAUCAUCUUCGGUUUCUUCAUCUUCGCCACUUUCCUGCAAAAUCGAAAAACUUUUAAUGUAUUUGCAGCUGUUUCACUAUUGAAGACUUCCUUCUGAGAUAAAUUUUAGUAGAAAAACUUCAAGCAAGUUUACCUUUCUUUUAAUGUAUUCCGCCAUGGCUCUGUCAAACUCUGCUCGUUUCCCGGUUGCGAUAUCGUAAUAUUUAACUUUCUCCUGUUGAAGACAAGUUGAAAUUAGUAUGUCAGACAACUUAUGAAGUCCUUUAGUUUCUAUUUAUAUGUGCAUCAUAUAUAGGCUUCAAGUCCAAAUGGGGGAAUAUGAUGAAUCAACCCUUGAGACAUUCGGCUUCCUCGGCAUGCACUAAUAUUGAUUGCCGUAUUAUUUCUAUACAUGCCACUUCUGCACCCCUAGUUAAUAAGCCAAUAACAAGAAUUGGAACAAUUUUAUCACCAAAUGAUAAUAAUAUUCGAUAUCAAAACUAUUUUCUUCAUCCUUAUGCAAAUCCAUGAACAGAUGAUGUACGUGCACCUUGUAUAUAAAUAGAACUUUAAGUAUGCUUUGAUGAACCAAUGUCACCCAUGACCACGGCCAAGGAUUUUAGCUAACAAGAGGCUAAACAUCAUUAUGGAUAUUCCUUGGCUCUCGGAUUCAAAUAAACAUGUCUUGACCAACUAAAUCUUACAAGCAUAUAAUCAAGUUAUCAUAACAAUAGCAUAUGCUAAUUAUAUGAAUCCGUAAGAAACACGGAAUUGGCACAAACCUCGUAUGUCAUUGUCUUCCACUUCUCACCACAUGCCUUCCCAAUCUGAAACAAUAUCAGGGAGGAUUCGUUAACAUAUACGUUAAAUACACAGAGAUUCGUUUUCUAAAAUAAGAUUUUGUGUUUUUAAACCAUAACAUACAUCGCGCAUUGACUUGAUAUCCGGAUUCUGCUCUUGAAAAUCCUUACGAAAAUCCUCCCUUGAGUAUAAGAAAAUGAAAAAAUCUGUUAGUUUAAUGUCUCUCACAGGACAUUCAAUUUCUGCAACAAAACUAGCAGGCAAAAUCCUUUGAUAUAAGAACCAAAGCUCACUUUCCAGAACACAGACACAGACACAUACAUAUAUAUAUGUAUAUAUAUAUUGCAUAUACAUUUGCUCCAUUACAGGCAAGGAAACACAAUCCAUUUGCAAGCCUAAAAAACCAACUCAAAAUUUUGCAUAAAAAAGACAGUCAAGAAAUAAGCAGAUAGAUUUUAGCUCUUACACGACAAGGGCACAAGAAUAAAAGCAUGAAAUUUCCAAACAGGAGAAUGUUAUAAUCAACAAAAUGUUAACCAAUACUAUGAACAAAAAAUUAUUAAUAAGCAAUACUCACAAGAAGUAAAAGAAAGCAGUGGGGGGUUUCUUAGGCAUUUUAGCAUCGAUUUUUGUUUUCUUCUUCAGCUUCGAUUUGGGUCUUGACUUCGACUUGGGUCUCUUUUCUCUCUCGCUAACAACACUCUCUUCAGCUGUCUUCUUCAUUUUCUCACUUGAUUUUACCCUUAACGCCAUUUGACUAACAAUUUUUUUUCCAAGCAAAAGUGUCUAUUGUUAACCCCCAAAAUUCCUUACAAGCAAAACAAACUAAGAAAGCCAUAAUUUAUUCUGCAAAAAAUACUAUAAAACAAAGGGGUAAGAGAGAAAUACUGAUUGGAGGCUGUUGAUGGGUUCUUAGCGGAAGUAACGGAGGUUGAAGACGAACGAUCAUUUUUCGACUUUGAAGCUUUCUUCGCCAUUUUUUUUCUCCUUUCUAUUUAUAAGACGGGUAGGAGAUGGAGACAAAGACCCACAGCUUGAGCUUUGCUUAGUGUUGGCUGGCUCUCACCAGUGAAGCAGUUGCCACCACAACUCGACUGUUUCCGGUGGGAAGGAGCUGGGAUUUGGACUUCCACGGGUGAGGGUCAGUGCCAAAUUGCUAAUGUAUUGCUCUCAGAGAUUAAGGCUUGUAGUAGUGGUAAUUACUUGGGUUUUUGGUAGCCCUACGACUAGCCCAACCUCAAUGCAAUAACUAUAUUAGCCCAUUGCUUACUUCAAAUUCUACAAAUACAAGGAUAAAAGAAGAAUUCAUACAAUGAUCCAACUCAUGACAGCCAUGAAUCUCAAAAUUAUAUAUAAAUUUUAAUUUAAUGUGUUAAUUUAUAAAAUUUAAUUUUAUUAUUAAAUAAAUAUUUAUUGAGAUCAAUAUAAAUUUAAUGCACUUUAAAAUUUAAAAUAUUCAUUAUAUCCACAUCAUAUGAAUAAUCAUAAUAAUUAAAAUAAAUAAUCAUUUUAAGUUCAAAAUUUAAGAUUUUUUAUGAAAUAAAAUAACAUAUGAUUUUCUUAAAUUAUAAUAUUGACAAAAGUAAUAAAACAUAUAGUUUUAUCGAGUUAUUUUUUUAUACAAUUAUGAAGUUUUUUUAAUAUAUAUUAGAAAUCUCAUCACAUACGUAUACGUAUGAAAAUUUAUAGAUUUAAAAUACAAAUGCCUAUUUAAAAGUAAUAUACAGUAUACAAUGAAAUAUAUAGUUUGAAUCUAAUUGAUCAUAAUAAUACAUGAAAUAUGUAUGAUAUUAAAAUAAAAAAUUAGAUUAAAUUAUGAGUAAAACAAAAUUUAAACACAUAAAUACAUCAUAUAAACAAUACUAAAUGAGGUACAGUUAUUUAACAUGAUUUUGUCAUCAAUUAUGAGUUAGUGUCGAGCUGACUUGUAACACCAACUUAAUGAACAAUAUUAUUAAUAUUAAAAUUUCUAUCACUUAUGUAUGUAUGUGGAAACCAUAGAUUUAAAAUAAAAAUGUUUGUUUAAAAGUAAUAAACAAUGAAACGUAUGGUUUGAAACUAAUUAUACAACUAACGUAAAUAAUAAUUUGUGUAGAUUAAAACAAAAAUAUAUAAAAUACAUUAAAAUGAAGUUUUGGUUGAGUGAUGAAUAUAAUGUUUAAGUAAUUUAAUUGGUGCAGGUGAUAAAUAAAUAAAUUAUUUAAUAAAUAAUAAUACAACACUUUUUGUUUUUUAAAUAUAUUUUAAAAUAAGAAUAAUAUUUGAUGCACUGUUAAUGGAGAUUUUAGACUCCAUAAGUAAGGUCAAUGGGGUAACCAGUGUCCUAUGGGGUACAAUAAAAUAUUUAAAAAAAAUAACAAAUUUUUAAGACUACUUGUAGAAUAAAAACUAUCACUUUUAAAGGAAAAUAUUUGGUAUAUUGUUAAUGAAAUUUUUAGACCAUAUAGGAAUCGAAAAUUGUCCACCAAAAUAUUAGAAAAACACACGUGACGAUAAAAUAACUUUUAGUUUAAAUUUACAAAAUAAAAGCGGAGGGAAGUUUUCGCUGCUCUGUGAAACCAGCCUCACGCUUUGUCUUCCACUCUAGGAGCAACGAGACCCAAAGAUUUCGCUCAAGACUCGUAACCCAACUCCUUGCUUGGAAUGGGCGUGCCAGAAUUCAGUCACUACGGUUCCGACUCAAUGAGUGGACCCAUAGUCCAACCGCCUUAAUGCCCCCACGCGGGUCACAAGCUGGCGUUACCCGACUCGGCGAACUAACAUCAUCUUAACCUGGGUUUUAAAUACUUGUCGUUCUAUUUAUUAUACCGAUGUGGGAGUUUCUUCAUUUCACGUGCAUCGUGACCGAGUUGGUGAUUUUUAGGUGUUAUCCGGAUAGUAAAAUCACUGUUUUACUCAAAAUCGAUGAUUUCCAAAUAUCAAAUACGUUCAUCUAAAUUGAUAAACCGACUAAUUACAUAAUACCAAUGAAAACAAUCGAUCUGGACAGACCCCUCUCUUAGCUACCAUAAUCACACACAAUACAGAAUUUGCUUUUGUUCUUUUUGUCUAUACAAAGUACCAUAGCUACUGGCUUUCAUCAAGUACAUUGUUGAACAUUGAACAUUACUUUAGAAUCGAUUCCUAUUAACCAUUAUUUCUUUUGAAAUUUAAACACUGUAAAAGUCUUUUCCAUAACCCUAGAGCUAUAGGGUAUGGUACAACUUGUACAAUAUGUACUCUAAGAGAGCCAUCUCCUUGAACGUGACUCGAACUCGGUGAUAAGAGUCAAAUAUAAUGAUGUUUCCCCUACGAAUUUUUCAUGUUGGAAUGUAUAAGAUCCAUAUAUUUUGAGAGAAUGAAAAAUUGGAAUAACAUAGUAUGCCAAGGUACAAUAUGUACAAUCCUUUCUCCAUCUCACUUGCUUCCAAGUUUUUUUCUCUAGUUUUUAUUUUAUUUUCUUAAUAAUCGGGGAAUAGGAAUAAGAUUGCUUCAUGUUUACAACAUAUAAUGCUCUUGUCACUGGGCAAAGACGUUAUUGGCGUAAUUGCACAUUAGACACAAAUACAUUAUAUGAAGUUACACUUGAAAAUAUAAUAUUUAGUGUUGUUUCUAGAUUUUAUUAAAUAAAUAUUAACGGUUAUAUCCAACUCUUACACCUAUUAAUUUUAUAUAUAUGGUAGUGGAUACCAAUUCAUUGCAAAAUGAAAGUAAAUUGUGAUUGAAUUAAGUCAUGUAAUUAAUCAAAUAAAUAAAUGGUUAGAAGAAGUGGGAGUAGAUUUUUUUUUUUUAAGUAUCUAGAUCAAGUUCGAAUCUAAAUAUUAUCUCGACAUGAAUAAAACUAUAUUUAAACCAUAAAACGGAUGAAGAUACUUGUAAUUACAAAAAAGAAGAAGAAGAAGUAAAAUUGUAGCUAAAAUGUUAUUAUAAAAGGUUCACCUUUCAACACCUUAGAGAGUUGCUGAAAAGUGCAAUAAUUUAACAAAUAUACCAUAACUUUAAAAAUAGAUUUGACAGAAAUGGUAAUAUUUAAAAAAGGUAAAAUUAUGAUGUGUAGGGGUUGAAAUCUAGUAUAUAUUUUCUAAAUUUAUAUAAAAUAUAAAAAGAAAAAAAUUUAAAAAUAAAUAUUAUUUUCUAUAAAUAAUAAGUUUUAGUAAAUUUUCAAUUCAACUCACAUUGAUUAAUGAUCCAAUCCAAUCAAAAAAUUAAAUAAUAGUGUACAUAAAUAAAAUAUGUUGCAUAUAAAUCAGGUUGUACUUGGUAACUAAUCCUCAGGGUUCAGGACCACCACAACUUAAAAAUUGGAAAAAGAGAAAUUCGACUCCACUGGGGAUCGAACCCAGAAUCUCUGGUUCCGUAGACCAGCGCCUUAUCCAUUGGGUCAUGGAGUCGUAUGUACGAAAUUUCUUAUAUUAUUAUUUUCUUGAUAAGCAAUUUUCCUCGUCUUCCUCUCCUGGCCUGGUUCCCGCGCUCUUCCUAGCAGCGGCAACUUAAAAAAAUGAAAAGUCGACUCCACUGGGGAUCGAACCCAGAAUCUCUGGUUCCGUAGACCAGCGCCUUAUCCAUUGGGCCAUGGAGUCACGCGAUCAGGUUAUCAUAUUCAAAUUAUUUGUUGAUACAUAAUUUCCGUCAUCUUCCUCUCUCUCCCUGGUUCUCGCAAUUACCACGCUCUUAGUAGAUAUGAAGGAAAAAGGGGGGGUGGGGUGGGGAAGACGGCAUCAUUGCCAUGGCUUUGGUCUUCUUUUCAAAGUGAAAGGAAGGGAAUCUAAGAAAUAACCUAAAAGAUGAAAAUGGAAAUGAAAGUCAAUUUUAAGUAACAGAAAAAUCCUAACUUGUCGCCGUCUGUGGGAAUCAAACCCACGACCACGUGGUUAAAAGCCACGCGCUCUACCAGCUGAGCUAAGACCGCUACGGUUUAAUAGUUUCUUGAGUACCCUUUUUGAGUAUUAAAGCUUAAUUUCGGUAAAAGUGAAAUUUUAUCUGCUAGUAUACAUCUUGCAAUUUAAGUUGCAAGAAAUUCAUGAUUAUCGUGGGAAAAUUACCUAUCAAAUACUUAGGGAUGUCUUAGAUUGCAAGGAAAUUAUCUAUUAGAGAUUGUGCCCGCAUGAUUGAAAAUAGUGUGGGGAGAGUGAAUGGGCGAAUUGCAAGAAUGCUUUCUUAUGCUGGCUGAGUCGAGUUGGUACAAGCAAUGCUCUUGCAUAGACGAAAUUAUUAGGCUAGGCAUUUUAUUCUGCCAAACGUUGUGAUUGUAAGAGUUAGUCAAAUUUGUAUGAAAUUUUUGUGGAAAGGCGAUGCUGAAAAAGUUCAAGGUGCUAAGGUAGGUUUGUAAACCAAAGAGCGAAGGGGGUCUCGGACAUGCAAAGUUGGAACAAGGCUUGUGUCAUACAACAAAUUUGGUCGGUAUUGUUUCAAGUUGGUUCUCUGUGGAUAGCUUAGAUAAACACUUGUAUUUUAAAGGGUCGAUAUUUUCUGCAGGAUCAACUAGCUGCCAAUGGUAGUUGUAGUUGGAGUUGGAUGAAGCCAGUAGGAAUACGAAGUGAGGCUCUUCAUAUCUUUCGAUGAGCAAAUCGGAUGGGGCAAGGCACAAUAUAUCAUAUCAGUAAAGUUUGGAACCAAGGAGUAGAAUUACCGACUACACUGUUUGUACCCUAAAACAUUCAUUUAUCACUUGGUUGGAUACGAGUGAUCGGUUGGGUGCUAAAGACAAAUUAUGAGCCUGGGGAUUGAAUUACUAUGCUGGCUGCGUGUUAUGCCAGAUUGGGUAGGAAACUGAAGAUCAUUUAUUCGUGGAGUGCUUUUAUGCAGAGAGAGUUUGGAAAGUGUGUCCUACAGUUAUGUGGCCUUCAAAGGGAACCUGAAAUCUGGGAACAGGAGCAGCGUUGGCUAAUUACAAAGCUGAAAGGUAAAACUCUAUUUAUGAUCAUUCUUAAUUUGGCAUGGAAUGCCCGUUUAUAUUGGGUUUGGAAUGAAAGAACCAACAGGUUUUUUUUAAGGUCAGUGGAGAAACGAAUCUGGGUUGCUUGGAAAAAUUAAGGAAGGUGUUCGAAUUCAUUUUCAAACACUAGAAUGAAUACAAAGGAAUCUGUAAAAUAUUGAUAUUUGUAUAACUUGGGAGAUUAGGUGUUUGUUAACACAUGGCAUCAUGAAAAACUACUUGAGAAGUACUCACAUAUGGUUUUCCACCUCUUACUGUUUGGCUGGUGACUGGGUGGAUCACCAUCAAGAUAGACCACUCGCUUUUAACACACUUAUCUUUAAGAGGGACUAUGAGUAUGGCAACCUCAUACUAUCUCAACAAUAGGAAUAUUAGGCAACCUCAUACUAUCUCAACAAUAGGAAUAUUAGAGAAAGUACCACACUUGACGACAAUUAAUGUAUAACCAACUUGUCAUCAUAUUAAGCACACGUUCACCAUCAGCCUGAGAAUGUCGAUGACAUGACAUAAGUGGACAAAGAAUCCCUUGACAUUUAAUAAUAGAGGAACUAGUUUAAUUCUUUUUAAUAGUACAAGAAUAAAAUUUACCCAUUUAAUAAUAGGACUAAUUUGAUCUAAUACCUAUAUUACAGGGACUUGGUUUAAGUUAUUUGAUUGACUUUUUUUUUCUCAAAACAACACCAUUAGAAUUUGGUUUACAUGUAAUUAUUUUAAAGAUUUCACAUAAACAAUUAAUAGUAAUUAAUAGUGUAACAAUUUGGACUAAUUAACAAAAUUAUAAAAAUACGAGACCUAAUUUUUUCUAAAUUAAAGGAUAUAAAUUAAAUCAUAAAAUUAAUACAGUACAAGGAUCAAAAUAUAAUUCGACCAAAAUAUAGAUAUUUGUGAUAAAAAGGAAAAAAAGCCCGACUGAAACUGGAUCAGUUUCCGUUUACCAGAGCCUUACAAAUUGGGCCAUAGACUCAUUAUAAAAGGACUAUCUAUCCAUGCUUAAUUCCCGCCAAAGCAGUCAUCUUCUCUCCUUUUCCCGCCAAAACCAUUCUCACUUUCUAGUAGAACAGAAGAGAAUUAAAACAAGACGAAAAAGUGGCCUUCAUUUACAAUAGCGUUUGGUGUUUUCUUCCAAAACUUACAGUGUAGAGUUCUGGCUGAAAGAGAAAAGAAAAAUGGAGUUGGGGGCUCAAGAUUAUGCUGAUAGGAAGAAAGAUAUCAGCCAAUUCUUGUCUCAGGAUGUCUGUUAAUCCAUCCAUUCUAUGAUAUAUAUUCCUAUGUGUUAAUGUUAAUUUACCUUUUUUUUUUGUAAUUGAUUGAUCAGAUUUACCAAGAUGAAAUCAAGGCUAUGAUAAAUCACAAGCGCCGCCGUCUCAUCAUCAACAUUUCCGAUCUCCACUCUUUCAACAACUUGGCUCCUAGGUUCUCUCUAAUUUCUUAUUUUUUCCCUCUAUUUUGAGCGUUGAUUGAAUUAAAGCUCAUUUGGGUUUCUGUUUAUUGUUCUGGGUUUUAGGAUUCUGAAGAACCCGAGUGAAUUUAUGCAACCAUUUUGCGAUGCGGUGACGGAAGCUGCUAAAGGUAUCGACCCAAAGUACUUGAAAGAAGGAGAAGCGCUUCAUGUGGGAUUUGAAGGCCCUUUUGUUUCUCGUCGCGUUACUCCCAGAGAUCUUCUCUCUGAAUUCAUUGGCUCCAUGGUAUGCGUCGUGGGUAUUGUCACCAAAUGUAAGUUCCCCCCCCCCUCUCUUUUUUUUUCUUUAUAAUUUGAAGUAUAAUAAAUGGGUAUCUGUUUGUUCAUAUAAUGCGGUAAAAAUUGAAUUUAGGUUUUUGUAAAAAAGUGGGUACUUGCUUUGAGCUUUGAAAAAUCCCUAACGCUUUUGGGCACUUGUUCAUACUGAAUAAAGUGUUUAUCAGUGUUUUUUCUGUGUUGUGGUCUUCUCUUUACGUAUCUAACAUGAACUUAACCUCCAUUUAGGUUCUCUGGUAAGACCAAAGGUUGUUAAAAGUGUUCAUUUUUGCCCUGCCACUGAGAACUUCACCGUUCGGGAAUAUCGAGACAUCACCUCCAAUAAUGGUUUGCCAACUGGAUCUGUGUAUCCUACUAGGGUAACUUUCCACUGAUCGGAUCUCCUAGUAUUAGUAUGGCUGUUGGAUUAAGCAUUGUCUCAUGAGUAAUAUUAUUUUCAGGAUGAAAAUGGCAACUUAUUGGUGACUGAAUAUGGGUUGUGCCAAUACAAAGAUCACCAGACCUUGUCAAUUCAAGAAGUUCCGGAGAAUGCUGCACCUGGUCAGCUUCCUCGAACUGUGGAUGUCAUAGUUGAGGAUGACCUGGUUGAUUCAUGCAAGCCUGGAGAUCGUGUGGCUAUCGUAGGGCUAUAUAAAGCUCUUCCAGGAAAAAGCAAGGGCAGUGUGAAUGGUGUAUUCAGGUAUCUCUUAUGCAGUGCAUUUUUUAAAUCUUCUUUUGUUCUUUGGUCUUUUUUCUGUCUACAGUUGGAUGAGUAAUUUUCUGUUGUAGGACUGUACUCAUAGCUAAUAAUGUCUCUCUGCUCAACAAAGAGGCCAAUGCACCAAUCUAUAGUCCCGAGGACCUUAAGAAUAUUAAGAAGAUAGCAGAAAGAGAUGACACAUUUGACCUGCUUGGUAAUUCCCUUGCACCUUCCAUAUAUGGGCAUUCGUGGAUAAAGAAAGCUGUGGUUUUACUGAUGCUUGGUGGUGUGGAAAAGAAUUUGAAGAACGGCACUCAUUUACGAGGGUUAGUUCUACUUCAACUGUCUGCGUCUUUGUUGUUAUAUACAGCCUUUGUUAGAUUUGCUAUAAUUUAGAUCCUAAAAUAAGCCAAAUCCUUGCUAUCUUUUAGGGACAUUAACAUGAUGAUGGUUGGAGAUCCAUCUGUUGCAAAAUCCCAACUUUUAAGAGCAAUCAUAAACAUUGCUCCCUUGGCCAUUUCAACCACUGGUCGAGGUUCUUCUGGUGUUGGUUUGACUGCUGCUGUCACAUCUGAUCAAGAAACAGGUAAAGCACUUCAAUUGAUUCUGUCAUUUCGGUUUAAAGUCUUGUUUUUGUUGAUUUUGACUAAAUUAAAUAUCUCUGCGAUCAGGAGAAAGAAGACUGGAAGCAGGUGCAAUGGUCCUUGGUGAUAGAGGUGUUGUUUGCAUUGAUGAGUUUGACAAGAUGAAUGAUCAAGAUCGUGUUGCAAUACAUGAAGUCAUGGAGCAGCAGACUGUAACUAUUGCCAAAGCUGGUAUCCAUGCAUCAUUGAACGCUCGGUGCAGCGUAGUGGCUGCUGCCAAUCCCAUAUAUGGAACUGUAAGUUCAAUUGGUUAGUAAGAUGCAGAUUCACUCCACUAGCAAGGUGGUGAAUUUUGAGUUUAUACUAAUUAUUGGUCAAAAUGCAGUAUGAUCGUUCAUUGACUCCAACAAAAAAUAUUGGACUUCCAGACUCUUUGCUUUCUCGUUUUGAUUUACUCUUUAUUGUAUUGGACCAAAUGGAUGCUGAUAUUGAUCGUCAUAUCUCUGAGCAUGUCUUGAGAAUGCACCGGUUUCGCUCUCCUAUUGAUGGAGGUAAGGCAAAGUGUUUCCUUAUGGUGCUUAUAGACUGGUUGGACAUAUACCUAUUAAGGUAAUUAAUAAUGUAGGCGAGGCAGCUCUUGAUGGAAGUUCAAGAUAUGGAAGAGAAGAUGAAGCUGAUGCUGACUCAUCUGUUUUUGUCAAGUAUAACCGUAUGUUACAUGGGAGAAAAACAGAAAGAGGUCGGAAGCGUGAUACUCUUACGAUAAAGUUUCUGAAAAAGUAUAUCCAUUAUGCAAAACACAGGAUUCAGCCUGAGCUGACUGAUGAGGUUGUGACCAUUCCUUUUCCUUUAUAUUUAUUUAUCCAGUAAUCUAUUAAUAUCGUCCCACUGUUUAAAUCAAUGCUUUCUUCUUCCCCUUUACUCUGUUUUAAUCAAUUCAAAAUUUCUGCAUUGUUAUGCUGCAAUAUCUUCUCUAGAAGAAACCUUGAUGACCUCUCUAACUUUUCUCCCCAAAGAUCAUCAACUAACUUAUCCAGGGCUUACUCUAAAGUAUCUCAUCUGCAGGCUUCAGAACACAUUGCUACAGCUUACGCAGAGCUCAGAAAUGCCAGUUCAAAUGCAAAGGUUUGCUUUUGUAAUCAGCAAAGAAAUACCUUGAUAUACUUGCCUCAGUUAUGCUAAUACUGUCAUUGGUUUUGUAGACUGGCGGAACCCUUCCAAUCACAGCUAGAACCUUGGAAACCAUAAUUCGUCUAUCAACUGCUCAUGCAAAGUUGAAGUUAAGCAGAAAGGUAUUUGGGAUUCCUGACAUGUUCCCAGUAGAUUUUUUUCCCUAAACCUUAUAUUACUCUUUGAAUAUAAUCUAAUUCUUUGGGAUCAAUUGUGACCAAAAUUGUUACAGAGAUUUCAUGUUUAUGUCUUAAAAUUGCAUGUUUGGUCCUUGCUUGUAACUGCUUCAUUAUAUUUCCUUUUUUAUGCAUUUUAUUCAUACUUCUGUUGCAUGAUGAUUUAUCAUGGCAGGUUACAAAAGUUGAUGUUGAAGCUGCUCUGAAAGUUCUAAAUUUUGCUAUUUAUCAUAAAGAAUUGACAGAGAUGGAGGAUCGUGAACAAGAACGGCAAAGAGAAGAAGCAAGGACACACAGAGCGGAUCGUCAAGGGUGAGCAUGGGAUAUGCCUUUAAACAACUUACGGAUUUUAAGUGCCUAUUGCUUAUAAUUUAAAAAUAAAUAUUGCUUAUAAACAAUUGAUUUAUCUUUAUAAUAUAGAUGCUUAUCUUUUUAUAUAAACUUUAUCAGAAAAUUACUAAAUGAUCAAAUUUAUUCUAAUGUUGUUGACCUUCUCUUUUGCUUUAACUAGGCCAACGACCACUGCUAUGGAAGUAGAUGAUCCUCCAAGGGCCCAGCAGCCUACUGCCAUUGGCUCUCUUGAAAGGUCUGAGUCCUAACAAACACUUCAGUUACAAGUUUAGACAUGGCUUUUUCCUUCAACAAUAGCUAUAAUCUAUUGUUGCACAAGUUCACUUUAAAAUAUUUUUUCUACCUAUUUGUUGAUGAAUUUCAGGAUUGAAGCAUUUAAAGCUAUAUUUGGUCAGCAUAUGCGUGUGAACCAUAAGGAUACCAUAUCUAUUUCUGAAGUAGAGAAUGUUGUCAAUGAAGGAGCUGAUGGCCAUUACUCAAGGGCAGAGAUCGUUGCUAUAUUAGAGGUAAUGUUGGUAUAUGGAUUGUUGGAUAGGAAUAAAGUUUUCAUAUUCUUAAAAGAUGAAUGUCCCUGUUUUUCCUCCAUUUUGGUAUAACAUUUUGAAUCUCAUAUCCACUUGUGGUUAACAUGACAAACUUACAUAUUUUUCAGUUCCAACUUACUAAAUUUAAGGAUGCUAUGUACUAACAGUCACUACUUUCACAAUUGUCAGAAGCUGCAAGAUGAUAAUAUAUUGAUGAUAGCCGGUGAAACAGUGCAUAUGAUAGUAUGAGAUGUAAGGAAAGACCUGGAUGGCUUCUUUCAUGCAAUCACUUUACAGCAUUGUGGGAUUGGGGAUGGAUCUAUUGGCAUGAAAUUCUUGGUUUGUACAGCUCCAUGAUUUAUCCUAAAAUUGUCUUAAAAGUGACUGUUGGCUGUACUCUGUAGCAGAUGAAAGGUGAACUGGGGAUGGAUCCCCUCUUGCUCUGCAAGUGAAGAUGCAAAAAUUUGGAUGACAUGAUAAUUCACUAAUGCUUUAAUUAUUUACUUGGAAGGUAUUGUUUUUUUUUGGACUUUAUGUUUUCAAUAGUUAAUAUACUGUGGAUCUAAUUCUAAGCAUCUGCACCCUGAAUUCCUUGUUUUUGUAGUAUUAUACAAGGUAAGCAAACACCAAAAGAUACACUACAAAUCAAGAUUUUAUUAACAUUAUAAUUACUUGAAAAGAAGAAUAAAAAUUUCGGUCUCCAUCCACAAUACCAGUUGCUUGGAAUAAUAAUAAACUCAAAUAAACCAACAGGACAAAUAUUGAGAAAGAAAUUAAAAAGGGUUUAGACCAUAUUCACCAAGGAAUGAAAAGAUAAAUAACAAGGAAUGAAAUUCAAAAGAACCAUGCAGCCAUAGAAGCUAAGGCAGCUACUGCAGCUGGAACACCCAAAGCUGCUCCUGCACUUUCCAUCGGAGAUGGUGCGACGGCCCCUUGAUCUUCCCUCAAAGCUGUGGCUCCAUUGGUGAAAACGGCAAGAACUGUAACGUAGGCAAUCAAAAUCAUGGCCAUUUUGCUACCCUCCAUUGUUCUAAGCAACUCAACUGAGCAAAGCACCCUUUAAAGAUAUCAAAGUGAGAGAUGCUAUUGAAGUUGUGUGCUUUUGAGCUUGACUUUGGAUUGUAGAGAUUUCAAAUGUUUUUAUAAGGGAAGGAUUAUGCUACUAAUCAUGUAUUUGCCAGCUUUUUGUUGGUUUUAACCACUAACCAAAUCAUUUUAAGGCAUUUGUGUGUUGUCUGCUAAUUGUUUUUUGCCUCUCACUCUCUUGUAAACUCUACACCAGCCUGGACUGACUAUAUAAACUAUAAAG